CUCUUUGGGGCGGGGUGAAAAUCCCCACCGGCGGUAAAGCCCGCGAGCCGCAAGGCACGAUCCGGUGAGAUUCCGGAGCCGACAGUAUAGUCUGGAUGAGAAAAGGC
Molecule: non-coding RNA, 107 nt
Filed under: bovine gut metagenome
Description: FMN riboswitch (RFN element)
Rfam family: FMN riboswitch aptamer (RFN element)
About the family: The RFN element is a highly conserved domain that is found frequently in the 5'-untranslated regions of prokaryotic mRNAs that encode for flavin mononucleotide (FMN) biosynthesis and transport proteins. This element is a metabolite-dependent riboswitch that directly binds FMN in the absence of proteins.
Source: RNAcentral